RNAcentral lists this ribosomal RNA (481 nucleotides) under uncultured bacterium. RNAcentral describes it as "partial 16S ribosomal RNA". It matches the Rfam family "Bacterial small subunit ribosomal RNA", at positions 29 to 506 of the family's 1533-position model. The record is from RNAcentral.
AUUGAACGCUGGCGGCAUGCUUUACACAUGCAAGUCGAACGGUAACAGGCCGCAAGGUGCUGACGAGUGGCGAACGGGUGAGUAAUGCAUCGGAACGUGCCCAGUCGUGGGGGAUAACUACUCGAAAGAGUAGCUAAUACCGCAUACGAUCUAUGGAUGAAAGCGGGGGACCGUAAGGCCUCGCGCGAUUGGAGCGGCCGAUGUCAGAUUAGGUAGUUGGCGGGGUAAAGGCUCACCAAGCCAACGAUCUGUAGCUGGUCUGAGAGGACGACCAGCCACACUGGGAAUGAAAAAGGGCCAAAACCCCAACGGGAGGCAGCGGGGGGAAAUUUUGGAAAAUGGGGGAAAGCCGGAUCCAGCAAGGCCGGGGGAAGGAAGAAGGCCUUGGGGUUGUAAACUGUUUUUGUACGGAACGAAAGGGCUCGGGUUAAUACCCGGGGCUAAGGACGGUACCGAAAAAAUAAGCACCGGCUAACUACGG